RNAcentral lists this ribosomal RNA (305 nucleotides) under uncultured bacterium. RNAcentral describes it as "bacterial SSU rRNA". It matches the Rfam family "Bacterial small subunit ribosomal RNA", at positions 333 to 655 of the family's 1533-position model. The record is from RNAcentral.
AUUUUCCUACGGGGCGCAGCAGUGGGGAAUAUUGCACAAUGGGGGGAACCCUGAUGCAGCGACGCCGCGUGAGUGAAGAAGAAUUUCGGUAUGUAAAGCUCUAUCAGCAGGGAAGAAGAUGACGGUACCUGAAUAAGAAGCCCCGGCUAACUACGUGCCAGCAGCCGCGGUAAUACGUAGGGGGCAAGCGUUAUCCGGAUUUACUGGGUGUAAAGGGAGCGUAGACGGCAGGGCAAGUCUGGAGUGAAAGCCCGGGGCCCAACACCGGGACUGCUUUGGAAACUGCCAUGCUGGAGAGCUGGAGG